Molecule: long non-coding RNA, 319 nt
Organism: Nyctereutes procyonoides (raccoon dog)
Lineage: Eukaryota; Metazoa; Chordata; Mammalia; Carnivora; Canidae
Exons: 3
Source: RefSeq, a predicted model, not a curated record
AGACGUUCCACGGAAUGAACCCGAAGGCUCGAACCAUUGGCAGCUGUUGGGAAGCAGAGGUGCCCUGAGGCAAAAAGCAAGAACUACUCUAUGCAGCUAACAGGAGGGACUGUCUGAUUGCCCAUGCACAAAGCCAAUUACCACAGCAAUGACAAAGUAAGAGCCCCUAGCACAGAGCCUGAUUCCUAAAAUGUGCUCGAUAAUUGUUGGUUCCGUGGCUGAAUGAAUGGAUAAACAACUGGAUCCAUGAAUGAUGGAGCUAAGAGAGGAGUCCCACAUCAGGCUCCCUGCAUGGAGCCUCCUUCUCCCUCUGCCUGUG